AACGAACGCUGGCGGCAUGCCUAACACAUGCAAGUCGAACGAGAGCUUCGGGACUGGUGGCGCACGGGUGCGUCACGCGUGGGAACCUGCCCGUAGGUUCGGGAUACCUCUCCGACAGGGGUGCUAAUGCCGGAUAAUGUCUUCUGACCAAAGAUUGAUCGCCUUUGGAUGGGCCCGCGUUGGUUUAGCUAGUUGGUAGGGUAAAAGCCUACCAAGGCUAGGCUCCAUAGCUGGUCUGAGAGGAAGGGCAGCCACACUGGGACUGGGACACGGCCGAGACUAUUAGGCGAGGGAGCAGAGGGGAAUAUAGGAAUAUCGGGGAAAGGCUGAACGAGCAAGGCCGGGUGAGUGAUGAAGGCGUUAGGGAUGUAAAGCUCGUUUAUCCGGGAUGAUAAUGACGGUACCGGGAGAAUAAGCACCGGCUAACUUCGUG
RNAcentral lists this ribosomal RNA (433 nucleotides) under uncultured bacterium. Its description in RNAcentral is "partial 16S ribosomal RNA". It matches the Rfam family "Bacterial small subunit ribosomal RNA", at positions 29 to 507 of the family's 1533-position model. The record is from RNAcentral.